Populus trichocarpa (black cottonwood) is the source of this 940-nucleotide long non-coding RNA. RefSeq lists it as uncharacterized. NCBI's taxonomy places the organism in Eukaryota, Viridiplantae, Streptophyta, Magnoliopsida, Malpighiales, Salicaceae. The transcript is spliced from 2 exons. The record is from RefSeq and is a predicted model, not a curated record.
AAACAAGCAUAAUUUUAGAUUUUAUUGUUAAAUUGAACUCAAAUUUUACCAAAUAAUUUUAUAGAUUAAGUUCUACAACCUAGCCACAACUGGUUUUUAUUUUUAUUUUCAGGCUAGAUGUAGCUUAAAUAUACGGGCUGAGCUAGAUCCAUCCGGCUAAACUCAGUCACUGGCACGAGCCAGUUAUCCGGUUGGGCAACAGGCACAUUCACGCAUGCUCUCCACAGUGCAAUGGUAAUUAUAAAUAUCUUCGCACAAUGUGAAAUGAAUCGAAGAUGCAAAGCGGGAAAAUGAAGAACUUACCUGGUCUGGAGACGAAGGGAUGAAGACGAUGGCAACGGUCAGCCAUGUUGGGCAUCAUUCAGAAUAGAAUUUGAGAGCCAUGAGUGGGUUAUAUGGUCGUUACUUGUUGGUACUGGAUAGGAUUUUGAGAGAGAUAUGUCUUAGUUCUUAUGAUUAUUGAAGGUUAAGAAGGUCAGGUGAUUUAGAGUAGAAGGCUUUAUUGGAGAAAGAAGAAGAAGAAGCAGAACUGGAAUGUUAUGUUAUGGAAAAGUCUGAUAUUGUGAGGGGAAAGAGAGGGCAGAGGUCGGGGCAGGGACAGUUCUCACAGUUAUAUUAUCAAACAGGUGGAGUGCAAAGAAAUGUUAGUUUGUAAAUUAUGUCUCAAGGAUGUGAUUUUCUGUCACCACUCGAAGAAAAGCAGAGGCAGAGAAGAAUUCAUUACAUAUCAUUCUAUUCAACUCCACGUCAUCGUUCAUGUUCUUUUUUGUUGAAAACGUGUUGGGAAUGGUUAGAAAAAGUUAACGAUGGAGCUAUGUUGUUAACACAAUUAUUUAGUUGAUUUUCGCUUCAGUUAAAUUAAUUAAGAUAUUAUUUAACUGAUAUAUUAUUUAAAUUUUAAGUUUGAAAUUGAAAUUGAAUAAAAAUAUUACUUAAUUAA